Molecule: ribosomal RNA, 323 nt
Filed under: uncultured Bodomorpha
Lineage: Eukaryota; Cercozoa; Glissomonadida
Description: SSU rRNA
Rfam family: Eukaryotic small subunit ribosomal RNA (bases 106-323)
Source: RNAcentral
GAUUUCUGGCUUGGUGCUCUUGGCCCGCCACGGUUACGUGUGUGAGUGCUGGGUAGCGCCUGCCAUCCUUCUAGGUAGCAUGUCUGCUCUUUACUGAGUGGACAGGUCGCCUAGAUCUUUUACUUUGAAAAAAUUAGAGUGUUUCAAGCAGGCUUCUUGCUAUGAAUACAUUAGCAUGGAAUAAUAAUUUAGGACUUUCGGUUCUAUUUUGUUGGUUUCUAGGACUGAAGUAAUGAUUGAUAGGGAUAGUUGGGGGUGCUAGUAUUCAGCGGCCAGAGGUGAAAUUCUCGGAUUCGCUGAAGACUAACUUAUGCGAAAGCAUU